UCUCCGUAGGUGAACCUGCGGAGGGAUCAUUACAAGUGACCCCCGGCUCCGGCCGGGGAUGUUCAUAACCCUUUGUUGUCCGACUCUGUUGCCUCCGGGGCGACCCUGCCUUUUCACGGGCGGGGGCCCCGGGUGGACACAUCAAAACUCUUGCGUAACUUUGCAGUCUGAGUAAAUUUAAUUAAUAAAUUAAAACUUUCAACAACGGAUCUCUUGGUUCUG
Molecule: unclassified non-coding RNA, 222 nt
Filed under: Cladosporium sphaerospermum
Lineage: Eukaryota; Fungi; Ascomycota; Dothideomycetes; Cladosporiales; Cladosporiaceae
Also listed under: 1 other name
Description: partial contains small subunit ribosomal RNA, internal transcribed spacer 1, and 5.8S ribosomal RNA
Source: RNAcentral